This is a non-coding RNA of Arachis ipaensis, 3589 nucleotides long. The record is from RefSeq and is a predicted model, not a curated record. NCBI's taxonomy places the organism in Eukaryota, Viridiplantae, Streptophyta, Magnoliopsida, Fabales, Fabaceae.
UGUUUUCCUUGUACUUGGUUUUUUCAUGAUGGUGGCUACUUCGACAAUGGAGAGUCUACUGUGUUCCUGUUUGUGUGUUUUGGUGUUGUUGGGGUGUUUGAUUUCAUCAACGGAAUCAAAGUACAUAAAGUACAACACAAGUUCAAACAUUGUUCCUGGGAAGCUGAAUGUUCACUUGGUUGCUCACACUCAUGAUGAUGUUGGUUGGUUGAAGACCGUUGAUCAGUACUAUGUCGGUUCCAAUAACUCAAUCCAGGGAGCGUGCGUUCAAAAUGUGCUGGAUUCGCUUGUGCCAGCAUUGUUGGCGGACAAGAAUCGCAGGUUUAUAUAUGUUGAACAGGCAUUUUUCCAGCGUUGGUGGAGAGAACAAAGUGAAGCUGUUCAGAACAUAGUCAAACAGCUGGUCAACUCUGGUCAAUUGGAGUUCAUAAAUGGGGGCAUGGUUAUGCAUGAUGAGGCUACUACACAUUACAUUGACAUGAUUGAUCAAACAACACUUGGACACCAUUUCAUCAAAGAAGAAUUUGGUAAAACCCCAAGAAUAGGAUGGCAAAUCGAUCCGUUUGGACAUUCGGCGGUGCAGGCAUACUUGUUGAGUGCACAGGUUGGGUUUGAUUCCCUAUUCUUUGCGCGGAUCGAUUACCAAGACAGAGCUAAGAGGAAAGAUGAAAAAUCUCUUGAAGUUGUGUGGCAGGCCUCUAAGAGCCUUGGUUCAUCUCAACAAAUAUUUUCAGGUGCAUUCCCUAAGAACUAUGAACCUCCUGCUAAUUUCUACUACGAAGUAAAUGAUGAUUCUCCAAUUGUACAGGAUGAUGUCAAUUUGUUUGACUACAAUGUCCCUGAACGUGUAAAUGAGUUCGUCGCAGCAGCGAUAUCUCAGGCGAAUAUUACGCGAACCAAUCAUAUAAUGUGGACAAUGGGGACAGAUUUCAAGUACCAAUAUGCACAUACCUGGUUUCGCCAAUUGGAUAAGUUUAUUCACUAUGUUAAUCAAGAUGGCCGGGUUCAUGCCCUCUACUCAACCCCAUCGAUAUAUACUGAUGCGAAACAUGCUGCUAAUGAGGCCUGGCCAAUCAAGACAGAAGACUACUUUCCGUAUGCUGAUGUGGAAAAUGGCUAUUGGACGGGGUAUUUUACAAGUAGGCCAGCUAUCAAAGGCUAUGUUAGAUUCUCAAGUGGCUACUACUUGGCAGCAAGGCAGUUAGAGUAUUUUAAAGGGAAGAGUGGCUUAGGUCCAAAAACUGAUUCUUUGGCUGAUGCUUUGGCUAUUGCUCAACACCACGACGCAGUAUCCGGUACAGAAAAGCAGCAUGUGGCUAAUGAUUAUGCGAAACGGCUUUCAAUAGGCUAUACAGAGGCUGAGAAGGUUGUUGCAGCAUCACUUUCUUACUUGACAGAUGCACCAAAAACUGGUCGUCAGAUUAAAUUUCAACAGUGUCCACUUCUGAACAUAAGUUAUUGUCCUGCGUCGGAAACUGACUUCUCGAAUGGAAAAGACCUGGUUGUAGUUGUUUACAAUCCACUUGGAUGGAAAAGAGAGGAUGUAAUAAGGAUCCCUGUUGUAAGCGAAUAUGUUGUUGUUCGAGAUUCAAGUGGAAAACAAAUCCAAUCACAGCUGCUACCAAUACUUGAUACUUUUAUUGGUUUGAGAAAGUACUACACUGCAGCAUACCUGGGAGUAUCUUCAACUGUAAAACCUAAAUACUGGCUUGCAUUUUCGGCUACUGUCCCGCCACUCGGUUUUAGCACUUACUAUGUAUCUAAAGCUAAACAAGCAGCUACUAUUUCAGAUACAUAUACACCAUACAAAUCAAGGAAUCAGAAGGAUACAAUUGAAGUUGGUCCAGGAAACUUGAAACUGAUUUAUUCCGAGAAGGAAGCAAAACUCACUGAAUACAUCAACAGCAAAAGCAAGGUCAAAGAAUCCAUAGACCAGGCAUACAAAUAUUAUUCUUCAUAUGGAGAUGAUGGAACACAAACUUCUCAGCCUUCCGGUGCAUAUAUUUUUCGCCCCAAUGGUUCAUCAGUUCCAAUCAAAUCAGACAGAAAGUCUCCUCUCACAGUCUUCCGGGGGCCAAUUGUGCAUGAAGUUCAUCAGAAGAUUAGCUCAUGGAUAUACCAGGUAGUACUUAACUUUACAAAAAUCUCUUUGAUUCAGGUUGGACCUAUACCUACUGAUGAUGGAGUUGGUAAAGAAAUUGCAACAGAGAUUACAACAAGUGUAGCAAGUAGCAAAACCUUUUACACCGAUUCCAAUGGACGCGAUUUCAUCGAAAGGAUUCGAGACUAUAGAAAAGACUGGAAAUUGCAAGUAAAUCAACCUGUUGCUGGAAAUUAUUACCCUAUCAACCUUGGGAUUUACCUGAAAGAUAAAAGUAAAGAGCUCUCUAUAUUGGUAGAUAGGUCUGUGGGGGGAUCCAGCAUCAAAGAUGGGCAAUUAGAACUAAUGGUUCAUAGGAGAUUGCUUGUAGAUGAUUCUAGAGGCGUUGGCGAGCCGCUGAAUGAAACAGUUUGCAUCCAUGAUAAGUGUGCCGGAUUAACUGUACUAGGGAAGUACUAUUUCAAGAUUGAUCCUGUAGGAGACGGUGCGAGAUGGCGUCGAUCAUUUGGUCAGGAGAUAUACUCGCCGUUUCUAUUAGCCUUCACAGAGAGUGAAGGUAACUGGGGAGACUCUCAUGUUACAACUUUCUCAGGAAUAAAUCCAUCAUACAGCUUGCCAGAUAACAUUGCAGUCAUAACCCUUCAGGAUCUAGGUGAUGGAAAAGUUCUCCUAAGGCUUGCACACUUAUAUGAGGUUGGCGAGGACAAGUAUCUCUCAGCUAAGGCAACUGUAGAACUCAAAAAGGUGUUCCACAACAAACAGCCGGUCCCAAACCCGGAAAAAUGAGGAGAGUUGUUCAGUGUGGGACAACCAACAUAAAACAAUGUUGCAUCCUAAUGCAUGACCACGACGCAAUGACGUCUUUGAAGCCAUGUUGGGUUGUGUCAGGUUUGCGACAGCCGAUGUAAAACAAGGUCGCAUCUCAAAACAUGGACAUGACACAAUGACGUCUUUGAUCCAUGUAGCCGAGCCCACUUAGUGGGAAAAAGUCGUCUCGAAAUUGAUUAGGAGCUAGCAUAGUAGUAGACCAAGUCUUGAGCUGUUAUCAAAAUAAGUGAGAUGAGCUUAUCUGCAAACCAAGAAAGAGCAGAAAUGGAGAGGAAGAGAUUGGCAUGGAAAGUCAAAGGAUCAACUCAAGAACCACAUAUUUCAAGGGGAGGACCAGUUGAUCCACAAAAGCUUGUUGUAGAGCUUGCUCCAAUGGAAAUAAGGACCUUUAUUAUAAGUUUCAAGCAUUAAGGUCCUCAAGGACCACUAUUGCAAAAUAAGAGUAGUUAAGUGUGCUUAUUCAAAUAGUGAGAACAAAAAGAACAUUUAUCUUGCAAUUAAAAAAAAAUAAGUAAUGCAUUCAAAUAUGUCCAUUGUGUGAGGACAUAUCAUUGUUCCUCAGUAUCAUGUAGGCUAGCAACCUAAAAUGAAGGGGUUGUUUGUUUGGCUAAGGUUGUAUGAACUUUAGUUUCUUACCAAUAAAGCUUAUAUUGUACUUGA